RNAcentral lists this non-coding RNA (28 nucleotides) under Rattus norvegicus (Norway rat). Lineage: Eukaryota; Metazoa; Chordata; Mammalia; Rodentia; Muridae. The record is from RNAcentral.
UCGGAGAAGAAUUGGGUUUUACCUCUGC